RNAcentral lists this ribosomal RNA (253 nucleotides) under uncultured bacterium. Its description in RNAcentral is "partial 16S ribosomal RNA". It matches the Rfam family "Bacterial small subunit ribosomal RNA", at positions 524 to 776 of the family's 1533-position model. The record is from RNAcentral.
UACGUAGGGUGCAAGCGUUGUCCGGAAUUAUUGGGCGUAAAGGGCUCGUAGGCGGCCAACUAAGUCGGAUGUGAAAUCCCCAGGCUUAACCUGGGAACUGCAUCCGAUACUGGAUGGCUUGAAUCCGGGAGAGGGAUGCAGAAUUCCAGGUGUAGCGGUGAAAUGCGUAGAUAUCGGAAGGAACACCAGUGGCGAAAGCGGCUUCCUGGUCCAGCACCGACGUUCAGGCACGAAAGCGUGGGGAGCAAACAGG